AUUCUAAUCACCUAGAGAUCAUGUUAAAAUGCAGAUUCUGACAAGUAAGUCUGGGCCAGCAUUUGAGCUUCUGCACUUCUAACCAGGUCCUUGGCAGUGAUGUCCUU
RNAcentral lists this microRNA precursor (107 nucleotides) under Marmota monax (woodchuck). Lineage: Eukaryota; Metazoa; Chordata; Mammalia; Rodentia; Sciuridae. The record is from RNAcentral.